This 377-nucleotide ribosomal RNA is filed under the name uncultured bacterium. Its description in RNAcentral is "bacterial SSU rRNA". It matches the Rfam family "Bacterial small subunit ribosomal RNA", at positions 523 to 898 of the family's 1533-position model. The record is from RNAcentral.
AUACGUAGGUGGCAAGCGUUGUCCGGAAUUAUUGGGCGUAAAGCGCGCGCAGGUGGGAUAUUAAGUCUGGUGUUAAAGUUCGGGGCUCAACCCCGUGAGGCAUUUGGAAACUGAUAUUCUUGAGUGCAGGAGAGGAAAGUGGAAUUCCUAGUGUAGCGGUGAAAUGCGUAGAUAUUAGGAGGAACACCAGUGGCGAAGGCGACUUUCUGGACUGUGUCUGACACUGAGGCGCGAAAGCUAGGGUAGUGAACAGGAUUAGAUACCCUGGUAAUCCUAGCUGUAAACGAUGGGUACUAGGUGUUGGGGGUAUCGACCCCUCCAGUGCCGGAGUUAACGCAAUAAGUACCCCGCCUGGGGAGUACGGCCGCAAGGUUGAA